GCUCACCUAGGCGACGAUCCCUAGCUGGUCUGAGAGGAUGACCAGCCACACUGGAACUGAGACACGGUCCAGACUCCUACGGGAGGCAGCAGUGGGGAAUAUUGCACAAUGGGCGCAAGCCUGAUGCAGCCAUGCCGCGUGUGUGAAGAAGGCCUUAGGGUUGUAAAGCACUUUCAGCGAGGAGGAAGGGUUCAAGUGUUAAUAGCACUGUGCAUUGACGUUACUCGCAGAAGAAGCACCGGCUAACUCCGUGCCAGCAGCCGCGGUAAUACGGAGGGUGCAAGCGUUAAUCGGAAUUACUGGGCGUAAAGCGCACGCAGGCGGUUUGUUAAGUCAGAUGUGAAAUCCCCGAGCUUAACUUGGGAACUG
RNAcentral lists this ribosomal RNA (369 nucleotides) under uncultured bacterium. Its description in RNAcentral is "bacterial SSU rRNA". It matches the Rfam family "Bacterial small subunit ribosomal RNA", at positions 263 to 623 of the family's 1533-position model. The record is from RNAcentral.